GUCUGUAUUGUAGGUUUGCAAGAAUACAAGGUAUCCACUGUGGAGACAGUCAGGGAGUUGAUUGAGAAAGGAAAUGCAACAAGGAGUACUGGAACCACUGGUGCAAAUGAGGAAUCCUCCCGUUCGCAUGCCAUACUUCAGCUCGCCAUCAAAAGAAAGGUUGAUGACAAUGAUUCAAAACCAGCUCGACUAGUUGGCAAGCUAUCUUUCAUUGAUCUUGCUGGAAGCGAACGUGGGGCUGAUACAACUGAUAAUGACAAACAAACUAGGUAGCAUUAGAUUAGAUAGAUCUGCUAUGUGUAUGAGUAAGAAUUGCAAGAAAUUGUCAACUUAUUUGAGGAUCACUGAAUCUUACCUUCUUUUGCAGAAUGGAAGGUGCUGAAAUUAACAAGAGCUUACUUGCUCUAAAAGAAUGCAUUAGAGCUCUUGACAAUGACCAGGGUCACAUUCCAUUCAGGGGGAGUAAACUGACUGAAGUUCUGAGAGAUUCAUUUGUUGGUGACUCCCGUACAGUGAUGAUAUCCUGCGUUUCACCAAAUUCAGGGUCAUGUGAACAUACUCUGAACACUCUAAGAUAUGCUGACAGGUAAAGCCAUCAUGUAAGAGAAGUUUCAUGAAGUUAAAAUGUACUUUGCUUUAGAAAGGUCUAAGGUUCAAUUGCAUAUCAGGGUUAAGAGUCUAUCUAAGGGGAACAGCUCAAAGAGGGAACCGCUGUCCACAUUAAAUCUUCGUAGUUCAACUCCAGUGCCUUUGUCCUCAAUCAGUCAAGUUGUGUCAGGCCCUGAGGAUAAUGUAUUUGGUGGGCUGCAGAACCAAGAGCUCAGCAAACUUGGAUGGCCUAAACAACAAGAAAGGGAAUCCUCACUAUCUUCCAACAUUGAGCGUGUUCCUAGUGGUCAAGCACAGAGCAAUUUGGCUGCCACAGUGCAUAUAGAGAAUCACAAGCAAUUUGGUCCAAGUAUUGAUCGUGUUCCUAGUGGACGAGCCCAAUGGAGUAGUCUGGUUCACACAAAUGAAGAUAAUUUUGAUGGCUCUAAAGGGAUCUCUGACCAUGCAUCUUGGUCUAUAAAUCCAAAAUUGGAUAGCCAUCAGCUACGAAAUAUAGAUGAUAAGACUGGAAACGUAAAGUAUGGGGACCCAUCUGAACUUGAGCCAAGUAGCUUGAUCGCAGAAGAUGAUCUUACUGCUUUGUUAAAGGUAAAAGCAAUAUUUGAUCUUGGUUUACUUGUCAAAAGAUAAAAUAACAACUGCUAAGUUAAAAUUCUACUUGUUUGAUGUCAGGAAGAGGGAGAUCUUAUCAAUGCUCAUAGAAAACAAGUUGAGGAAACUAUGGAAAUUGUCAAGGAGGUUGGUUAUUCAGUGCUUUUUGCCUAUCUGCGUACAAUAAGUUUUAAAAUACAGUUAAGUAUUAAGCUGCAUCUCUUGUUUACUGUGUUUCUCUAUGCAGGAGAUGAGUCUAUUAGUUGAAGUUCAUGAACCCGGUAAUCAGCUUGAUGACUAUAUUUCUAGACUGAAUGCCAUUCUAUCCCAGAAGGCUGCUGGAAUUCUGCAAUUGCAAAAUCGCUUGGUAGAAUUUCAAAAGCAUCUUAAAGACCACGAGGUUUUCUUAUUUCCUUCUGGUCAUUGAGUCAACUGUUGAGAUUCGACAGAAACUACCACUUAUACAGAGUUAGCCUCAAAUUGGUGAUACUAUGACUUCUUGGUCCUACCUGGUCUGCAAAUUUUAGGUUGGUUGCUUUGAGAUCUACUUCCGGGGGACAAUACUACUAGAUGUACAGACUUACCGAGCGGAUUAUGGAAGGCUCAUCAAACGAUGCAGAAAUGCAGUAAUUAGAUGUUCAAUCGAAAUGCUGCCAAUAGCUAUAUGGGACGGGUUAUGCAACUAUUGGCAGUGUAUCUUGGAGCCUCAGAAGUCUCAGCAUGUUGAAAGAUAUUGUAAGAAACUUUGGAUUGGGCUUGUGCUGGUGAAAAUUUUCACCCCAAUUGUUGGUUAUGUUGUAUGGGUGACGGUACGAGAAUGCCUGUCAUCUGCUUUGUGUGCAUAUAAUGGGUACCGUUCCUUGGAGUUUGCCAUGUUAUUACAUCCCGACUCCUAAGAUAAAACUACAACUCAACCUAAAGUGUAUUUUCAUUUGAGUGCAUGAGGUAAUCGCUAGAUAUCCGUAUGUUAUUUCUAGACUCACAGAAGUAACGAACUUUGACCGCAAGCACCGUAUCUCACUUGUCCCUAUGGAUAGCAAAAGUAGUUUUUCAGAAGAGAGAUUAUGGCAACUUGUUUUCAUCCCUCAUGAUGAAUCUACAGGGAAAUAUUUACACAAAUAUUGAAGUUCUUUAAGGAGACCAUUAAUUCGGCAAAACACAAAUCUAUAAAUCAACGGGUUAUAUAUAACAAAAAGAUGAGGAAUCAGCUAGAUCAAAUUGCAAGGAGGCCACAGGGUUCGAUCUCCAUCCGACCCAUCAUCCAAACACUUGGGAUCCUCGGUUACAUUACACUUGGGAUCCUCGGUUACAUUUUUUUUAGUGCCAACCCAAUGCCACCACUAGAAUUGUGUCAAGUGUCUUGUUGUCAUUAGCAUUUUAAUUUUUUAUUAACUCAAAUUGGUUCAAAAUUAACACAAAUUUUCUUAUUCUCUAAAACUCUAAACCAAAAGGCACCCGGCCGGUCUAACUCCUGCAUCGAUAAUUUUAUACCGCUGCUGCUUUGGGGAAAAAGAAUAAGAAAACCCUCUGUUUCCGAUGAUUGCCUUCAUUUGUGGCUUGAUCGAUGGUGUUCCAGUAAACCAUUAGCCCAAGAGCUUUGUGUCGUGGAUCCGCCGCAUCAGUUGGUUUCAGAUUUCUUUGGUCCAAGAAUUUGAUGGGGCAAGGAGUUAGCAUUGGGAUUCGGAGUUCAACCAAUGAAUGCGUCUGCAAGGUUGAUAUUAAGCCUUGGUUAUUUACUCCAAGAAAAGGGUUCAGAAGUUCAGAGGCCAAUUCCACUGCAAUUGACAUAUAUUGGGAUUUUUCAUCCGCAAAAUUUGGUUUUGGCCCGGAACCGCUAGAGGGGUUCUAUUUAGCUGUUGCAUUUAACCAAGAACUUGUCCUGCUCCUCGGGGAUUUGCAAAAGGAAGUGUAUAAGAAAAUAGGUCCUAGCCCUGUUGAAUCUAAUACGGUGUUUAUUGCCAAAAGAGAGCACAUCUUUGGGAAGAGAGUAUACACUACAAAGGCUCAAUUCUGUGACCACGGGCCGAUACAUGACAUCGAAAUUGAGUGCGAUACUGGGGGGAUUAACGAUCCAUCUCUGGCCAUCAGCGUGGAUAGCAGAGCGGUGUUGCAGGUGAAGCGGCUGCGGUGGAAGUUCAGGGGGAACCAGACUAUUUUGGUGGAUGGACUGCCGGUGGAAGUGUACUGGGAUGUUCACAGGUGGUUCUUAGGGAAUGUUAUGGGCAAUGCUGUUUUCCUGUUUCAAACCUGUCUCUCGGCCGAGAUGCUGCGAAACAGAGGGUUUUCUUAUUCUUUUUCCCCAAAACAGCAGCUGUACAAAAUUAUUGAUGCUGGAGUUAGACCGGCCGGGUGCCUUUUGGUUCCGAAUUUUAGAGAAUAAGAAAAUUUGUGUUAACUUUGAACCAAUUUGAGUUAAUAAAAAACUAAAGUGCUAAUGACAACAAGACACUUGGCGCAAUUCUAACGAUGGCGUUGCAUUGGCACUAAAAAAAAUGUAACCGAGGAUCCAAGUGUCAUCCAAAGCACUAAACAGGGGUGCUACGAACGAAAAAACAACUUGAUUCAAGUGUGGGACUAAACCAUUAAUGGUGUAGAGUCAAAUGCUAGAAAAUUCAAAAUGGUGGAGAAGAUUUUGAAUGAGAGAACAAUCUGAUUGAAUAGGCAUCGACUUGAGUUUGGAAUUUGUUGUUUGCACGCUGAGGUGCUUGGAAAACUUGCGGAUUCACCAGCCAGGAUAGUAUAAAUCAAUGGCUGGAAACCGUGCAAUAAGAUUUCCAGCAAUCCUGUUUGUGUUAAAAUUUGGCAAACAGCUCCCUUGGUGAAGCCCAGAAACUAAGGUUUUCCGUUUCCCACAGAAGAAAAAUAGAUUUUUGUUGUCCCAUUUUCUGUUUUUUGGUUUUUUUUUUUUUUUUUUUUGCAAAGAAAUGCAAGUCGCCAUGCUAAAAGAAAAGACUUGUGUUUUGAACAAAUUGUAUGCUAGACUGACCAGUAGUAAAGAAAAGAUUUGUCCAAGUACAAAAGAACUAAAACUUGUUGAACGGUCAUUUUCUGGCCUCACAGCCUCAUUUUUGUCUGCGCGUGUCGUGGAGGGUCAGCUGGGGACAGCGAAAGGGAAAGUAAUCCUCAGGAAGAAGACGACGUCUGUAAAACUUGAUGAAUGACUCCAAGAGUUUGAAGGGAGAGCCAGACGACCGCCAUAGGGCAAUUGGUAAACGACAGAAAAUGGCAAAGACCCAUACCGUCUCAUUACCAUCCAAGAUGAGAAGAAGAUAUAUACAACACAACUGAGUGGAGAAAAAAAAAAAACAGCACCCACGCCACGCACAAACCCACACCCGUCCCUUGACAAAUGCUGUGUUAUAUACAACGCAUCACAAAACCUCCCGCUGGCUGCUGCAGAUAGGUGGACGCAUCAAUGCGGAUUAGAUUUAGAUCCAGAACUAGAAGGGCACUGCUGGUUCCUCAUAGGUCACAAUUCACAAGUGAUGUGUCACUGGAUUUUCAAUACAAAUUUGGAAACGUAUAAUUUCUUCAUCAACUUUGCAAUGCAUAUAUUCAGGGUGAUCUUGACCAUUCAAUGAUUCCCCAUCCCUUUUUUGUCCGAAAGGUGCUUUGUCAUCAUUCUCUACUACUUCUUUGGGUUGAAAUUUAACGUCUCCCUGCUCCCACCAUAACUGCACUUUAAUUUACAGUCAAUGUUGCCCUGUUUGUUUAUAUUUUACGUCUUUUCUUUGAUUCCUCUCUUUCAUCCAACUGAGAAUCUCUUAUCUCUAGUUUAACCAAUUGUUGCUCUGUGGAUGCUCUUCGUUUCAUCCCCCAUUGGGUACUUGAAGAAAGCUGAGAAUUUACCGAGUGCCAUACAUAAGUUUACGACACUACCCAAGACGUAGGUGAUAAAUACUAGGUGGUUUUACCACGUAUGUAUGUUGAUUGGGAAGGGAAAAAAUUCUAGAGGAAAUUGUGGAGCUGCUCUCGCUUCUAAUCCAAGGGCUGCUUUAUGUUACCUCGUAUUCUAUCACAUCCACAAUUAUCCUUCUUAUCCAAAUACUUGUUUUUGAUUAUUUGCCUUUAGCAAAGUCGUUACCAUGAAACUGUGAAAGGAGCAUUUGCGAUAAAGGUUGGACUAAAAGUUGUAGCUCUAAAAGUUCAAAUAGAAAUUUUGUUUUCACGUAUAUGUAUGAUCUUGUCACCUUGUGAAUUUCUUUCUGCAGACAAUUAAUGUGUCUUUUCUUCUAAUUUGAUGGAAGACUUUAAUUAACUUUAAUGGUUAUGUGGUAGUGGCUACCAAAGGGGUCUUGAUCAAGUUGUUAAUAUUAAAGUUUCCAAAUUAGAGGUCGUGAAUUCUAAUUCUUCAUCUAUUUCUUUCAUCUCAUGACCUAUAAUAAUAAUGAUGAUGACUAAGUCUUUGGAUCCUCUACUACAAUUUUUGUGUUAAACUCCCUAUUUUAACGUGUGGCGAGGUCUACAAGAAAGUGUUGAGAGCCUCUUGUUUGGAUUGCUAUUUUUCUUCAAAAAAUUUGAACAUUUUUCGUAAAUAUAUUUCUCAAUCAUCUUUUUAUAUUAUAUACAUGAAAUCGUUUUAGUACAUUUUUCUAUGAAUUUUUUUUUUACCUCACAUACAUAAAAUCGUUACAAUAUAUUUUUUUUUAAAAAAAAACUAAAAAAAUGGCAAUCCAGAUGGACUCCUAUACAUUUCUCAAUCAUUUUUUCAUCUUAUAUAUAUGAAAUUAUUAUAAUACAUUUUUCUACAAAAAUUCUUUUUGCCUCGUACACAUAAAAUCGCUACAAUAAAUCUUUUAUAAAAAUUUAAAAAAUAGCAAUCUAGAUGGACUCUUAGUAAUUGAAAUUCUACAAAACAACAAAAUAUGCCGUCGUUGCUAUGGGACCGAAAAGACAACGUAAUCUUGUGUUUAUUGUACAAAUCUGGUUUCCCUUGCGUCCCUUUCAUGAAACGGCCACUUUUCUCAUCGCAAAUUUUAGGCUUUUCAUCGUAUCUCUGACCUUUCCUCAAAUUCGCUGUCAAUGUGCGUCUCUGUGGAGCACAUAAUUUAUCAGCUCUUAAAGUAAUGAACUUCAUCGAUUGAUUUACCAUUUGAAUAAAGAUACUAUUGGUAUUUCAAUUAACAACGUUAUAUAGGUUAUUUUCUAUCAAGUUUUCACUCUACAUGAGAUGAUAAGGGGUGAAGUGAAUAUAUUGAAACGUUAGGGAGGGUCACGUGGCAAUAGAUGAAAAUACAAAAGAAUUAUAUGUAAUUUAACCUAUACUUUGCUUACUCCAAUAUACUAAAAUUAAUGGCAUGAGAAGAAAGUUUUAAACAAGAAUUUGUGCUUUGAAUAGUACGACAAGAAUUUUGGAUUUGUUCUCUGUUCGACAAUUUGUCUAGGGGUUUUAAACAAUUAGCAACUGAACUCAAUUUUAAUGAUUGCCCGUUAUUCUUCAUGUGUAAAUGACGUUCAUGGAUAUCCGAUAUGUUAUCCAAAAAAAAAAGAAACAAUAACACAAAGUUGAUGUCAUUUAGGGGUGGGUGAUGGGUUGAAUAGUACUUAAAAAAGGAAGUGCAAGUGCAAGUAAGAAAUUUGAUUUCGAGACCUCCUCCACCCCACCACCGGCACCAAGAAGUGUAUAUAUAUUAAAUCCACUUUAAAGGUAGUACCUAAAUUAAGACGAUUACAUGUGUAAGGACGGUUUUGGCUAACGACACAACUAAUUAAAUAGCUUCGUCCGCGAUAAUCUACCAACCAAAACAGGAGAAACGUUUCCUUAAUAAUAAUUUUUAACUUAUCUGACAUCGUUGUCCCAUAUAUUAGGUGAAUCAGCUCAUGGGCCGGUUGCCAAUCCUGCAUUUCCACACAUACACAAAGCCACAACCUUUCGCUGUCACAGUCGAAAUGCUCUGCCCACCAGAUCGUACGGUUGGACAUAUAAAACCAAUAUUAGGACACAUCAUUGGCCUCCGCAACGUCACGCUCCAUGGAAUUAUAGGAUCCCACUAAAUCCCCUAUUUUAAGCAAAACAUAUCUCUAUUUAGUAUGCAGAGAUUAUUUUAAUGGUUGUGUUCGUUGUUUAGCAUAAGACAAGCAUAGGUUAUUAGAUUUGGACUUUGGAGCGCACUUUAAAUUUAGAGAUAUGUUUCCCAGGACUCAAACACCCACUAAGAACAGAAACGCCCCAAAUUAUAUAUGGAGAACAAAGCGGACAGGUGUCCGGUGGAUAUUGUGCCACAUACUAAUAUGUCACUUUAGCCGCCGGUGCACGAGUGGGAGCGCUGUGUUUACCGGCCCAAAAGAGAAACAAUAAUAAAAAAAAAAAAAAAAAAAAAUGAAAAGCGGAAAGCAAAUCGGAUGCCUGCCCAGCGGCUGUUUGGCCCCCCGCUCUGAAUUUCUGUUUUCUUACCCAAAAAGGCUCGUCAACUCGUGCCUCCCUGCUUCGGCGCGUCUCUCCUGGUUCUGUUGUUAGGCUUUGGGUAACUUGGAUCGGAGGCCUCUACACAGAUAAUUCCACCGUGUAAGUUUUAGUGUACACGCUGAAAUACCAAAUAAUGAAAAAUAUGAACUGUUUCGUAUCUCAUAUAUUGGAAAAAAAAUAUUUAUUUUUGUCCAUCGCUUCUAAAAUAAAACAAACGAGUCCCUCCACAUUUGAAAGAUGAAGCAAAUUAGUCUUGGUAUGACUACCUGGUUUAGAUUUUAGGAGUAGAAUUUGAACAUCACUUUAGUUUCUUCCAAAUCCGAUAUGCCCAUGAUAUUAACUCAACAUAAGAAAGAAAGAAAAAAUUUUAAAUUAUAACAUCAAAGACAAACCCUCCUGUAUAAAAAUAUUUUUUGAGCAAAUAAUAUUAAGUCAACAUUAAAAGAAAAACCAAAAAAAAUGUAGCAUCAACGAGGUUCUUAAUCUGAAUAAAAAGUUGUAUUACUUACAUUACAAAGAAAAGCAAAUAGUAAAGUCACGUGCGCUGAUGCACAUCUCUCAAUUAUUAGUUGUACUUUUAUAUAAUUUAACACCUCCAAUCUUAAUGUAAUUUUUUAUUUUCUAUCUUAAAUUUUUGAGUGUAUCUAUUUCUUAUGGAAAUUUAUACUCACACAAAUUUUAAUUAUUUCUUAAAUUGCCAAAACUUCAUGAAUUUGUGUAUAAUUUUUAAGAUUAUAGCAUUUGCAAUACUAGCAUGACUCUAUUAGAAGUUUAUUCUGUGAAAUUCAUUUGGCAUAUCGUGUUUUAAUGAUCCAUUAUAAAGAAGUUUAUCCCUCUUAAGUUGACUUGGCAAGUGCACACGGGUGUUGGCCAAUGGAGGGCUUUUUAGCGUCUUUCCCACGGUUAAAUUUAGGGUUCAAAUUCCGUCUUUACGGUUGAUGGUGGAAAGAGUGUAGAGAAGGGUGGAAGGGUUAAAAAAAAAAAUGCAUAAGGUGUUAAAAAAAAAAUGCAAAUUCAUAUUUUUCAAGCUAAUAAGUUCCAAAUUGUUAUUUUUAUGUUGCAUUUGUACCUUGCUUCACAUUUCGUUUGAGUUCUACAUUACUUAGGAAAUAAUUGAGAUUUUUAAGAUAUUUUUUUGCUACAUGUUUAUUUUUACAAUCACCAUUUUAUCUGACAUAAAUUAUAAAUAUAUGUUAUAAUUAAAAAAUUCCAAUGCAAUCGUUAAUUUUGUAAGUAAAUAUAAGUACUGCCACCAGUAUUACGAUAAACACUUUCAAUUGCUUAGAGUAUAUAUUUUUUUGUAAAUUUUUACGCUUUUUAUUGCUAAAAGUUUUAGUGCACGUAUAGUUGUAUUUAAAUCAAUUUAGCAAUUGUUAAAGAAAUAGUUAUUUAUUAGGUUGCAAUUGUUAUGUAUUCGAGAAUUAGUCAAGAGUAUUUUGGUCUUGUAAAAUAUAACCUCGCCUUAAUCAUUAUAAUAAUAUUAAAGCGUAAAGUGUAUAUAUUUGCGGUUUAUGGGACAAAGUGUUAACCCCAUUUAAAACUUAUCUCUUUCUUAUGUAGUAUGACCUCAACCAAAAAAAAAAAUUUUUUUUUUUGACCAUAUCAUCGCGGAUUUUUUUUUUAAAAAAAAAAACUUUCUUUUUUUAUAUUCGCAGAAACACAACAUGGAGUUACUGUGGUCCCUGAUGUAUGUACCCAAGAACCUAUUGGCCAACCUUUUUUUUGAAGCAAGCCUAUUGGCUAAUCUUAAACCUUGAAAUUAAUACCCCAUUCAAAGAAUUAAAUUAAGAAAAUGUCAGAAAAAAAGAAUUAAAUUAAGAUGAUGAAGGUGAUUCAGCUAGGUGUUCUUUCCAGGUUAGCAAUUUUGGCAUCACGCCAUGUGCUUAGGACACGUUGCAUAUUCUGUAAGGGACCACGCCAAUUUUUUCAAAAAGUCCACCACCUUCACUCCCCGCGCGUGACCUUAGAACAGAAGUCAUAAAAGCUUGGAAAAUAUCUAAACGGCCGGGACUCUGACGUGUAUCAAAAGAUGAUACCCCAAGUGGGCCCCCUUCUCUUGAGCCCAAGAAAUAUCGUCGUCAAACCCAAAUGACCUCCACGUUACCACUUGUUCACUGUUUUGCCACCUUCCCCACUUAUAUACCCUCCACCAUUCACCUCUCUCAAAUUCAAUGCAAAUUUUGCAUCCUCACUCGUCACCGCCACCGCUAUCAACCUCCUCCGUCACCGGCGACCGCCUCUUUUUUCUUUUUUAACCCCUUCUGGAGGGGUAACAGUUAAAAUAUCGGUAUAUGGGAUGGAGGCUGCUAACAACAAUAUAAUUGCCCCGUUUGUUAUGAAGACGUAUCAAAUGGUGAACGAUCCUUCCAGUGAUGGACUUAUUGCCUGGGGUAAAGCUAACAAUAGUUUCAUUGUUAUCGACCCUUUGGACUUCUCUCAAAAAAUUCUUCCUGCUUACUUCAAGCACAACAAUUUCUCCAGCUUUGUUCGUCAGCUCAAUACUUAUGUAAGUAAAUAUUUAGAUGUCGUCAUAGUUAAUUUAGAUUUUUGUUGAUGCGGUCAAAGUCCUACAUAAUUUCAAGAAUCUUUAUUUCUAUUCGUAAAAAUGAACAUUCUUGGCUUAAGAGUAGAGUAAAGAGAGUUUAGUUUAGUGGAUAAAGAGGGUUCAAGUUUCUCCUUCUACUUUCCUACUCAUUAAAUCCCACUCUUUCUCUGUUUUGAAGAGUGGGUUGGGGGGGGGGGGGGGGCGGAAGAAAGUUCUUUGUUUUGUACUUGUAUAUCCUCGUCUCUAUAAUUGAGGGUCGUGUUAUGUUGUUAAACAGUUACGUGCCAUGAGGAUCUGGUGUGGCUUAGUAGUUAGUAGUUAAGGGUCCUUUUGUUUUUUUUGGUCACAGUACAAGUGGAUUCCAUUUUUAUCCUGGCUGCUUUUACCUUUCCACAAAGUUAAAAAGAAAAGUGCUACUAAUAUAUGUGUGUAAACUUGAUUAUGGAAAUUUCAGGGUUUCAGAAAAGUGGAUCCAGAUAGAUGGGCUUUCGCCAAUGAAUGGUUUUUGAGAGGGCAAACGCAUUUGCUCAAGAAUAUUUCUAGGAGGAAGCACUGUAGUAGAAACUCAAGUAACAGUAGAGCUGAAGAUGAUGAAGAUGAUGAGGGAAUAAUAAUGGAGUUAGCUAGGUUAAAGCAAGAGCAAAAGGAAUUAGAUCUACAGCUCUCAAGGAUGAACAAGAGACUUGAAGCAACCGAGAGGAGACCCCAACAAAUGAUGGCUUUCUUGAGUAAAGUUGCUCAAGACCCUGAAAUAUUACCCCGUAUGAUGCUUGAAAAAGAAAGAACUAAAAGGUUAAAUAUUGCUAGUGGGGACAAAAAGAGAAGCAUAAUGAUGAUUUCCUCAACUUCGCCUUCGGCUUCUGUUUCUUCUCCUCCCUCCUCAUCAGGAAUGCCUUUGACAAGCUCUUCAGUAAAGAGCGAGGAGGAAGAGGAUGAUGCCAAUCUCGACGUUGAUAACUAUUGUCACUUUUCCUCUUCGCCGGAGACACCUUCCUCUGCAUGGUUCAGCCAAAGACCAGUCCUGGGUCGGUCCGUGAUUGCCCAAGAAUCUAGUAACAGUGGCGGCAAUAUUUCAAGCUCUCUGUCAUCGGGUUCCUCCGCCGGUAGUAGUGGUUCUACUGUUGCUCCGCCAUUGGAUGGUGUUCCGGCAAGUGAUGCUACGUUUGGUGGUGAUAUAAGUUAUGUAGGACGAGCUGCGGUCGGGGAGGCUGUUAGUCCACAACCGCCUUAUCCAUUCUCACUUUUAGGAGGCGGUUUCUAGUUAAACACUUUCAUAGAUUUUAAGGCUUUUUUUUUUUUUAGGUGGCAAAAUUACUAUUAUCGAGCUAUUUUGAUCAUGUAAUUCUUCAAACAUGUGCCUUACAUCAGAGCCUUAUAGGAUUAGGACCCGAUACCAUUCUUUAUAAGAUGGUAAAAUGGUGAUCCCAAGAAAAGCCAAAAAAAAAAAAAAAAAAAAAAAUUUGCAAACAUAGGGUCAGUUGUGUACAUUUCGUAUUUGAUCCUUAGCUUACUUAAUUUAUCGGGUGCAUUCUUACAUACAUAUUCUCCGACAGUGCUGGUAUUAUAAUGAUAAUGCAAGUUUCAAAGGAGUGCAAAGCGCAAGGAUGAAACUUAAGUUGUGUACCUACGGUUCUUUGCUUUUGGUCGUUUUUGUGGCCGAAGUAUCCAAUUGGCGACUAUUGUAUUUAUGCACAUAUAUCAUAGAAUAUGUUAAAAUACUCUUACCACCCUUUUUUAUUCCAAAAGACUAAAAUUUAUUUUUUGUCUACAAAAUUUAUUUGAAUGUAUUUUUCAAUCAUCUUUUUACUUUACAUAUAUCACAUUAUUAUAAUAUAUUUUUUUAAUAAAAAUUUUAAAAAAUAACAAUCCAAACAGGCUGUUACAACAGCGGCUUUUCUCCUCAAUAAACUUGGUAGGCAUGAUGAUGAAUUCGGAGAUGGGCAAGACUUGCUUAGUCACUUGGGUUGGGUAACUGAGGAAAAGAAAAAGUUACAUAGUUUCUUAUAUGAGUUAAAAUUAGAACAUAUUAGUUUCUUAUGUUGGAACAAUAUGCUGCUAAUUUUUACUGUGGUUGAUUAAGCCUUCAUGUUUGGUUAGCUGUCAAGAUUGGAAAGAAAAUCUAGAAAAUACGGAGGGAAGGGUUGGAUUGGAUGGUAAAGUGGGAGGGGUUGUAAGUAGAUUGGAAAGAAAAUCUAGAAAGAUAAGGAGGGAAGGGUUGGAUUGGGGUGGUAAAGUGAGAGGGGUUGUAAGUAGGAAAUCCAUUUUGAAAAAAAAGUAGAUAAGUUUAAUAUUGUGAAAGAAAUGCAAUUUUGGUCUCCAAAUUUUUUUUUUUUUAUAUUUGUGCAAUUUUAUUCCUAAAAUUUAGGCAAAAACAAAUCAAACCCCUAAUGUUUGACACUUGAUGCGAUUUUAGUAUUUAAAAUUUUGGUAAAAACAAAUUUAAUGACCAUUGUUAUCAAUUCAAAAUAGAUUUGGGACAAUUCAGUGGAUUUUUCAAUUAUUGACCAAAUCAGAGUAUAAUUUCAGAAACCACCCUUGAGGUUUUAAUAAUUUCAUUUAGCUCUCUCAAGGUUUUAAAAAUUACACAUAUUUCCCAUUGAAAAUUAUUGUUUUUAAAUAAUUUAAUGAAAUUCCCUUGUUUGGUGUGCUUAUUCUUAGAAUAACUUUUAAAAUUAUUUUUUCAUUAUUUUUUCCUUCGUAUUCCUUUUUUUAAUUAUUUGCUAAUAAAAUUGUAGAGCUACCACUAUUACAUCUAGUUUCUAUUAUAACUAAAUGUCAAACUAGUGAUUUUUUUUAUCAGUUAACUUAUAUGUAAUCCAAUGUUUUUUGUUGAUCUUUAUUUUCUAUUUUGUGCUAUUAAAAUUAGAAAUAAAUCAAAAAGAAAUGGCCCAAAAUCAUUACUAAAUUAUGAUAAUUCCACUGCUCAAAAAAUUCACAAAUUCUAAAUAAAUUAUUUCAACAUUUUCUUUUAUAUCAUAUAAAUCUAAAUACAUUAUAAAAUACCAUUAAAAGUAUCCUAUCAUAGUAAUAAAAUUAUUGUUAUAGUUGUAUAUCAAAUAGUAGGUAUGGACAUGAAAAAAUUUGACACUUUUUCCUUAUAAUUAUACUAGAUAAUUUUAUAAUUGCAUAGAAAAAUAAAUUAAAACUCAUUAUCCAAGGGCAUUUUUGGGUAUUCAUUUAAAAGUUUGAUCAAGUCAAUAUUAUUUUAAAGUUUUGUUGCUAAAACUAUCAAAUCAAGAAAGGUAGGUGUAAUUUUUCAAAUCUCAGAAGAGUUCAUUGAAAAUGUUAGAAACCGUAGGAGAGGUUUCUGAAAUUAUCCCCCAAAUCAGUCACGUAUAGUCUCAUGUUUGUUACAUUAAACAUCUAAAAAAAUAAGCAGAAUAAUGACUAACUUUGAACAACAAGAAUAACUAGUGCAAUUAUCAGAUGACUAACUAAUUAACCAAGAAACAAAAAUAAAAUUGUUAAACCAUACGCAAAAUGUAAGUGUCAAGGUUUUUUGUUCGGAAUGGAUUGUAAAUCGAUGAAUUAGGUACUGCGACUAGUUUCAGUUUUGUUGUUUAACAAAUUCAUUUUAAACUAGUUAAUUAGUUAGUACAUGAGUUGUUUUUGUCCUUAAUCUUGUUGUUUAAAAUCAAUUGCUAUUUUGCUUAUUUAUUUUGAAAUUCAAUUUACAUGACACACAACUAUACGUGACUAACUUCUAUCACUAAUUGAAAAAUAUUUUCAAAUAACCUAAAUAUGCUUUAAAUUGGAUACGCUAGGGACCAAAUUUGAUCUUGCCGAAAUUUAGAACCUAAAACUACAUAUGUACUAAACAUUGAGGACUAUUUAUUUUGGUCGAAAUUCUAAAGACUAAAUUGCACAAGCACUUCAUAUUGAGAACUAAAAUUGCGUUUUGUCCUUAAUGCUAGACUUCAAUUUAAGUGGUAAAAGAAAGGAAUAAGGUUUUGAAAUAGAAUGUUUUGAACGUCAUGACCAAAAUUUCAACAAAUCGCGACUUCAAGUAACCGAUCUUUCCGUUCCCUCUCAUUUUCCAAUUACUGUGCGAGUACUAUCUGUUUACACCACAAAGUAUAGCUCAAAGUCAAAUGCCAAACUUGACAAUGCCAGGGGUGCUUACGUUAGGACCGACUGCAGUUGCAUGAUUAGCAGGAGACAUUCACCCAAACUAUAUCUACCACAAAUUAUGCAUUUAAAGUUUAGUGAUAAUACAUUCAUUUUUCUUUUUGCUUCUAAAUCAAGCGUGCAAAUAUAAAAAAUUACCAGUCCACGUUGCCUAAGCGGAAUGGCAGAGGAGUUUGCUCAUUUCUGGCAUUGUAGGGUUGGAAAAGUAAAGAGACGAUGAGCCCACAAAUGAAUUGGAAUGGAGGCAAGCAAGGGGUGAUUUGUUAGCCAAUGAAUUAAAGCCAUAAAUGGAUUUGCCCACUUUCCCAUUCUGGUUCAAAAUGCUAUGACGAUGCCCGUUGCAAUUUGGCAGGUUAUGAUAGCUCCCGACAAGGUCCAGCUGAAGAGAGUCCCCACUCCCAGUCUCCUACUCCCUCCCAUCUGAUUAUCCUGCUUCCAUGUGAUCGGGCCCUGUAUUGGGAAAUGGUUUUACUUUGUGCGUCUGCGAACUUCCCUUUCGAUGCCCCAUGUUAAAGUGAACGGCAGGAGCAUCCGCUAGUUCUUUGUUGUGCCGGCGUCUAAAAAAUUGUAAAGCAGUAAUAUUUUGUCAAAUUUCGAAUCCUGCUCACUGCUUUGUUAGUAGAUUAUAUAUAGUAGUGCAAGCCUUUAAACUAGAUUUUAAAGACGUGUUUGCUUCGGAUUCCGGAAUCUGAAUUGAAAAUUGGAAUCAUGAACUUCGGUGUUAGAUUUUGGUCUUUGAUCCUUGCAUGUUAAUAUGGUUUGGGAGCUAAACGAAUUCAUUCCAUUAUAAAAUUAUUUAAUCAAUUUGGAAGUUCAAGCUAUAACUGAGGAGUGGUAAAAGGCAAGAUCUUACACUUUCAUUCUUAUUGACUCAUUCUCAUGAUGAUCUACCAAGCAAUAAAUAUGAGUAUAAUUAAUUUUAACAUUCCUUCUUACCCCUCGUACUC
RNAcentral lists this long non-coding RNA (15226 nucleotides) under Coffea arabica (coffee). RNAcentral describes it as "long non-coding RNA (CARA_LNC004012)". The record is from RNAcentral. Lineage: Eukaryota; Viridiplantae; Streptophyta; Magnoliopsida; Gentianales; Rubiaceae.